CGAUAAUCUUAUAAGCGCAUAAUGUUUUUUUUUAGCAAAAACGAACAGCAACUAAUCCUUAAAUAUCCAGGAAAAUAAUAACUGAUGGCUGUAACAGCAUACCCCCAUCAUCAUAAAGCCAAAAAUUUCUUCCACAGAAAAAAUAUGGACAGAACUCAUAUGGGGUUUUGUGCAACCCACAAUUUCAUAAACAAAAACAUUAUGCGCUUAUAAGAUUAUCG
This 221-nucleotide unclassified non-coding RNA is filed under the name Hevea brasiliensis (rubber tree). The record is from RNAcentral. Lineage: Eukaryota; Viridiplantae; Streptophyta; Magnoliopsida; Malpighiales; Euphorbiaceae.